GCAGACUCACUCUGUACUGAACUGCAGUCUUCAGUUCAGGUGCUUUUUCUGUCUGCAAGAGUAAUCACUCACAGGCGUGAUGAAUGCCUUCUUUCCUGUGGAAGGCUGUUACAAUUGCUAAUGGGACAUUGCC
Gallus gallus (chicken) is the source of this 133-nucleotide small nucleolar RNA. NCBI's taxonomy places the organism in Eukaryota, Metazoa, Chordata, Aves, Galliformes, Phasianidae. The record is from Ensembl.